RNAcentral lists this ribosomal RNA (251 nucleotides) under uncultured bacterium. RNAcentral describes it as "partial 16S ribosomal RNA". It matches the Rfam family "Bacterial small subunit ribosomal RNA", at positions 334 to 602 of the family's 1533-position model. The record is from RNAcentral.
UAGUCCUACGGGAGGCAGCAGUGGGGAAUACUGCACAAUGGGGGAAACCCUGAUGCAGCAACGCCGCGUGAGUGAAGAAGUAUUUCGGUAUGUAAAGCUCUAUCAGCAGGGAAGAAGAUGACGGUACCUGACCAAGUAGCCCCGGCUAACUACGUGCCAGCAGCCGCGGUAAUACGUAGGGGGCAAGCGUUAUCCGGAUUUACUGGGUGUAAAGGGAGCGCAGACGGCAGCGCAAGUCUGGAUUGAAAGCC